Bombyx mori (domestic silkworm) is the source of this 1654-nucleotide long non-coding RNA. RefSeq lists it as uncharacterized. The record is from RefSeq and is a predicted model, not a curated record. The transcript is spliced from 2 exons. Lineage: Eukaryota; Metazoa; Arthropoda; Insecta; Lepidoptera; Bombycidae.
GACGGCGUCACCUGAUUUGUCAACCGAAUUUUCUCUAAGUUUAUUUAUUUAUUUAUUUCUAUCGUGAGCGCUGGAGUUCAUUCUGUGAGACCACUAGUUUGCUUAUUUAUGGUAUGAAGUCACCGCACAUUAAGUGAAAUGUAUACAACAACUAAAAUAUUUAAUGGAUGUAAUGUUAUUAAGUUUACCACAAAAUGCACAUAAAAUAGUAUUAAUCGUAAAAAUUGACGUAUCUUUGGAUACAAUUAAAUUGUGAAAUAGAUUGAUAAAAUGACGGAAGAUUAUUCUAGAUGCAAAUAAAAGCAGCAACCCUGUAUCUCCACGUGGUGGUGGUAAAGCACCUGUUCGCUAAAUAUAAGCAUCACCUAGGACAUCUGCUCGACUAGAUUGCGCAAUGAAUACGAGGCUAAUACUCUGUCGAUACCAGAUGUACAAACGAGGGAGCUAUGAACUUUGUGAUGAUUUUAUUCUAUAAAUAAUUGUUUAAUGAAAAGAAAACAACUGCUGUUGUGAAAACAAAGUGUUUUUUUAUUUACUUAUUGUAACGGCUACGUAGAGUAUGCUGUGAGAGUCGAAGAUUCAGAACCACUACCAAGUAAAGUGCUAAGUAAUUUCUUGUUAUUGAUAAAAAAAAUAUAUAUAGCAAAUGUGAGAAUUAAAGACGCCUCAAUCCAAUUCCCGUUGUGGCGCCGUGACGAUCGCAUGCCUCUUGGACUAUGCGAAAGCAGUUACCGUAAAUUUCUGGCUUCCACUUUUGAAGGCCGACUUAUACCGAAAUAAAGCCUACGAUUUCUUCCAUGAGCAGUAUUGCAGUAGCAGCAUAGCAUUGCAGUAGGCAGCGGCUUGGCUCUGCUCCUGGCAUUGCUGAAGUCCAUAGGCGACGGUAACCACUUAACAUCAGGUGGGCCGUACGCUCGUCUGCCUACAAAGGCAAUAAAAAAAAAAAAAAAAAAAAAAAAAGAGCGAAGAGUUAGUGGAGCUGCAAUCACGAUGGCUGCUUUCGCAUAGCCCAAGAGAUUCUUCCUUUAAGUUUUUUCGCGAAUCAUAUCACUCAACUAAAGGAAUAACAAAAUCUCAAUCGAACACUGCAAAAGCAUGUAUCUGAAAAUUUAGCUCAUUUAUUCACUAUUACAAUACUACUACUAAACACCUUGUUUUAUAUCUAAUUGCGUAAUGUAUUUCUCGCAUGUAUCGUGAAUUUGUACAAGUAAAUUAUAGAACAGAUGCGAAAAUGUAAAACUCCUAUGGUGGUCCCAUAAUGUAUAGAAUCCGCUAAACCUGUUCUAGGCACAAGUUUGUUUGUUAUUACUGAUAAUGACUCAAUUAGAUUUGCUUCAAUAAUUUCGAAUGUGUGAGGUCUAUGGUUAUACUUUUUUUUAAGUCUGUACAGCGGAAAUCUUGGUGUAAUCUUUUUACUUUGGCACAGUUAUUUUCCAGUGUAAAUUAUAGACAAACUGAGGUGCGAGAAGUUCUAUUUGAUUUAUAAAUGAAAAUGUUUUUAACGAUAGUUUUACAUGUGUUUUUGUACGUAGCUGCCAUGUUUUGCCAUUUUUAGGUUUGAGAAAUCUGAAACAAAACUUUUUGAUUCUAAAAACAAUUUCAUUGAAAUAACGAAAUGCUUUAUUUAAUACGCCGAAUAAAAAUAUUCAAUGAA